RNAcentral lists this long non-coding RNA (438 nucleotides) under Mustela putorius furo (domestic ferret). Its description in RNAcentral is "lncRNA (ENSMPUG00000026710.1)". The record is from RNAcentral. Lineage: Eukaryota; Metazoa; Chordata; Mammalia; Carnivora; Mustelidae.
AACCCCCAGUGGAGUGUAGCUCUUCAAGGGCCUUGUCUUGUGUCCCCAGAGCCUGGCACAGGACCUGGUUCCCGGGAAGCGCUCAUGAAGGUCUGUUGGACAAAUCAUGGAAGCCAUGACCAGAAGAUGGAGGGAUGAACCAAGGAAGCUACAGCAAGAUGAUUUUCAGAAUGGGUGGUUGCUGAGAGCGCAUCGCCCGGAAACUGAUAAGCCGGAAGGCUACAGAAGUUUCAAGGAAGUAAGUCCGAAGUCUUGCAAAGAAGGCGGCUAUCAGGCCUGGAUCUCUCCUCGUGGCAGCUGUAGGAAACACAGGAACUCCGUGACCUGGAAAAUGUGGGACAACUGCCACAAGGUGACCCUGGAAGGCUGGGGUAGGCCCAAUUAAUUUAAAAUUUUGCUUGGCCUUGUCUCUUCCAAUUUUCUAAAUCCUCUGGAAAA